Molecule: long non-coding RNA, 855 nt
Filed under: Buteo japonicus
Lineage: Eukaryota; Metazoa; Chordata; Aves; Accipitriformes; Accipitridae
Description: lncRNA (ENSBJAG00000002860.1)
Source: RNAcentral
GGAGGAAGGCAAGGUGCCUUAUCAACAUGAGUAUAAUGCACAAGAGUCAAAGUAGCAACAUUGUUCUUUUUUGUUUUCCACAAGGGGGCAUGUAGAGUGCUUGGAAGUGACUUUGUUUUGGUUUCCUUUUUUAAUAGGGACCUCCUGGUCCACCAGGGCUGCCAGGACCUAAGGGUAAUAUGGGUUUGAAUUUCCAAGGACCCAAAGGUGAAAAAGGUGAACAAGGUCUUCAGGGACCUCCAGGGCCACCAGGACAAAUUGGAGAACAGAAGAGACCAAAUGACAUUGAGUUUCAGAAAGGAGAUCAGGUGAGUGGGAAACUAUAUCCAACUACAAUGAGCAUGUGAUCAAGCUGCAGCCUCUAUUGGUUUGGCUCAUAUAUACCGACAUCCUGCUUACUGCAGAGGUUCUAUUAUUUUUCUCAAAGUACUGAAUAUUUCAGGCCUGAGUACUUUUCAUUUAAUAGAAGGCAUGCCGGUCACAUUAGCUCAGUUACUUCCCUUAGUAAAAUAACUAUUCUUAAGAAACUCCCUUAAAGGAAGUUCGUAGUAACAGUAAAAGCAGUUAAAAUAUUCUCAUUCCUUGGAACACCCAGACUGCGCAUAUCAAAGCUGUCUGGGGAUUCAGAUUCCCAUUAAUCAACCAGCUGUGUCAUCCAUUGUGAAUAAGUCUUUCAAAAAUUUUAACUCAAUUUCUUUUUUUUUUUUUCCUUCCCUCCCCUCCCCCUCCUUUUUUUUUUCAUUAGUGAUACCCUGAGAUCUUUCUUCUUUGUGGUCUGAAUACAGUGCUUUUCCUGUUUCUGGCCUCUCAAAAGUAAAUAUCAAGCCAUAUUAUGACAGUAAGCUUGAACUGUUG